UACUGAGGAUGCGAGCGUUAUCCGGAUUUAUUGGGUUUAAAGGGUGCGCAGGCGGAUUUUUAAGUCAGCGGUCAAAUCGUGGGGCUCAACCCCAUCCAGCCGUUGAAACUGGGGAUCUAGAGUGUGCGAGAGGUAUGCGGAAUGCGUGGUGUAGCGGUGAAAUGCAUAGAUAUCACGCAGAACCCCGAUUGCGAAGGCAGCAUACCGGUGCACAACUGACGCUCAGGCACGAAAGCGUGGGUAUCGAACAGG
RNAcentral lists this ribosomal RNA (252 nucleotides) under uncultured bacterium. Its description in RNAcentral is "partial 16S ribosomal RNA". It matches the Rfam family "Bacterial small subunit ribosomal RNA", at positions 524 to 776 of the family's 1533-position model. The record is from RNAcentral.